This 551-nucleotide ribosomal RNA is filed under the name Hypomyces odoratus. RNAcentral describes it as "partial 28S ribosomal RNA". It matches the Rfam family "Eukaryotic large subunit ribosomal RNA", at positions 82 to 656 of the family's 3401-position model. The record is from RNAcentral. Lineage: Eukaryota; Fungi; Ascomycota; Sordariomycetes; Hypocreales; Hypocreaceae.
AGUAACGGCGAGUGAAGCGGCAACAGCUCAAAUUUGAAAUCUGGCCCCUCGGGCCCGAGUUGUAAUUUGUAGAGGAUGCUUUUGGCAAGGUGCCGCCCGAGUUCCCUGGAACGGGACGCCGCAGAGGGUGAGAGCCCCGUCUGGCUGGCCACCGAGCCUCUGUAAAGCUCCUUCGACGAGUCGAGUAGUUUGGGAAUGCUGCUCAAAAUGGGAGGUAUAUGUCUUCUAAAGCUAAAUAUUGGCCAGAGACCGAUAGCGCACAAGUAGAGUGAUCGAAAGAUGAAAAGCACUUUGAAAAGAGGGUUAAACAGUACGUGAAAUUGUUGAAAGGGAAGCGCUCAUGACCAGACUUGGGCUUGGCGAAUCAUCCGGCGUUCUCGCCGGUGCACUUCGCCUCGCCCAGGCCAGCAUCAGUUCGCGCCGGGGGACAAAAGCUUCGGGAAUGUGGCUCCUCCGGGAGUGUUAUAGCCCGUUGCAUAAUACCCUGGGGCGGACUGAGGUUCGCGCAUCUGCAAGGAUGCUGGCGUAAUGGUCAUCAGCGACCCGUCUUG